UGGGUAUCCUUUCAGAAAUUUUAAUCAAUAAGUUGCAUUUUCAAAACUUUUUUUUUAAAUUGCUAUUUUGGAAAAUUUUCAUUUUAUAGAGAACUACUGUAGAUUUAAGCUUUGGAUUUAGAAAUUAGGAUAACAAGAAUUUUUGUUGAUAGAUGAGUAUACUUUCAUAAUUUUCACCAAUAGGUUGCAUUUUUUAAAUAAUUAUUUUCUUAGAGAUUUUUCAUUUUUAUAGAGAACUAUUGUUGAUAACAAUAAUUUUUGAUGAUCGAUAAGUAUUCUUUCAGAUUUUUUCACGAAUAGAUUGCAUUAUUAAAAUAAUAUUUUUAAAAGCUGCUAUUUUUGGAAAUUUUUCAUUUUUAUAGGGAACUAUUGUAGAUUUCGAAUUAUGAUUCAAAAAUUAAGAUAACAAGAUUUUUGUUGAUAGAUGAGUAUUCUUUUAUAAUUUUUUAGCAGCUGGUUGUAUUUUUUAAAUAUAUUUUUUUAAACUGUUAUUUUUGGCAAGUUUUCAUUUUUAUAGAGAACUAUUGUAGAUUUGAGAUUCUGAUUCAGAAAUUAGGAUAACAAGAAUUUUUGUUGAUGGAUGAGUAUUCUUUCGGAAUUUUUCAUCAAUUGGUUGCACUUUUUAAAUCAUUUUUUUAACUGCUAUUUUUGGAAAGUUUUCAUUUUUUUUAAAGAGAACUAUUGUAUAUUUGAGUUUUUAAUUAGAAAUUAGGAGAACAAGAAUUGUUUUUGAUAGAUGAGUAUUCUUUCAGAAUUUUACAUCAAUAAGUUGUAUUUUAAAAAUAUUUUUUUAAACCGUUAUUUUGGAAUAUUUUCAUUUUAUAGAAAACUAUUUUGGUUGGAGUUUGGUUUAGAAAUUAGGAUAACAAUAAAUUUUUUGAUAGAUGAGCAUUCUUUCAGAAUUUUUAAUCAAUAGGUUGCUUUUUAAAAAUAUUUUUUUUAAAAUAAUUUUUUUUUAAAAAUUGCUUUUUUUUUUGAAAGUUUUCAAUUUUUCAGGGAAUCAUUGUAGAUUUAAGGUUGCGAGUUAGAAAUUAGGAUAACAAAAAUUUAACAGAUAAAUGAAUAUUUUUUUUAAGAAUUUUUCACUAAUAGAUUGCAAUUUUAAAAUAUUUUUUUUAAACUGUUAUAUUUUUUAUUGAGAACAAUCGUAGAUUUGGCAUUCUGAUUUAGAAAUUAAGAUAAACGAGUUUUUUUUUAUAAUAGUUUAUUGUUAUCAUGUAUGUAGUAAUACCCUUCAAGUCUUUAUACACAAACUACCCUAAUUAAUA
This 1268-nucleotide long non-coding RNA is filed under the name Brassica rapa (field mustard). Its description in RNAcentral is "long non-coding RNA (BRAP_LNC005550)". Lineage: Eukaryota; Viridiplantae; Streptophyta; Magnoliopsida; Brassicales; Brassicaceae. The record is from RNAcentral.